CAUCAUAAUAACCACCGUCAUUAUUAUCACUCAGCAUAAGGACAACCACCAUUAUCAUAAACAACAGCUAUUUUUAUUGGGAAUUUUGGAAAAGUAUCAGGUAGCGGUGGUCCGGAGGCACCAAGGCAGGGAACAACCCAGGAUGGAGCAGUAACCGGCAAUAUCAGGUCUGACGCCAUGUUAUAUCUUCUACGCUGGGGGGCACUUGCGGACUCGGGAGACGAAGCAACGUGUGAUCGCAGUAAACAUCAGCUCGAUUUAAUUCAUCUGUUUUUUUAUAUAGCGCCUUUGGCAACAAAGUUGUCCCAAAGCGCUUUACAGGGCUGUGUUGUGAUAAAUUACAGAGUGAUGCACACUCGGCGUGCUUAAUUAUGGACCAAACCCCCUAAUUCUCCACCACCGUAAUAACACGGAUACUCGUUCCCAUUCCGUAUCACAGAUCAGGGGCGCCGUAAGGAAAGGGAAAGGUAGGAGGAUUCCAAAGGGCCCGGAGUGACAGGGGUCCUAAAAAAUUUGCAAAAUAAUUGGAUGGUCUGGACUGGGGGGCCCAAUAUGAUAUGCUCUAAUGGGGCCCAAAAUCUUUAGCAACGUCACAGGUAAUACAACCGAAACAAAACCUGAUCAGUCAUCCACACCACAACUGCUAAUUGAAAUUAAUUUAUUAAUAAAAUACUAUAUAAUUGUAACCAUAGUUGCUGUGCACAUUAUAUAUUUUUUGGAUUAUUUUAAUUAAGUGUAUGUCACUUAUUUAUGUUGUAUAUGAUUAUUAUGCUUUGCAGUAAUUUUAUCAAUGUUAAUAUAUAUUUAUUUACAUUACAAUGUUGUGUUGAAUGAUCAGAUUUAAUUAUUAUUUCAUCUUAUUUAUUAUCAGUUACAGUACUGUAUUAUUUCAGUUAUAUUUACAUGUGUUGCAUUAACGUUCAGUAUGUUCCCUUAGUUAAUUGUAUGAUUAGUUCCUAUUUGCCCUGGUACACAGGGGGACAGUUUAGAAUGAAGCGCGGGAAGGGAGGUUGGAGCGCGGCUGGAAAAGUUGUAAGUACUGUGUUGCCGAGUGGUGAUUAUUAAAGAACGAUUACAAAAGGAACUGUAGCCCGCUUAUUACCCACAGCCCGAGAGAGACUGGCACGCACUACCCAUUUAUCGAGAAAUCAGGGUUACAUAAUCAAUAUUUAUUAACCAUUAUAAUUGCAGAUUAAUACUUUGUUACUAUAGAACAUCUACAGACACACCCAUUUGAAUAAACGUCUACCUUUUUAGAAGGUAUUCUUCAGUAUGAACAAACUAAAUAAACAACAAAUUAAAUUAAA
Long non-coding RNA from Brienomyrus brachyistius, 1307 nucleotides. RefSeq lists it as uncharacterized. The record is from RefSeq and is a predicted model, not a curated record. NCBI's taxonomy places the organism in Eukaryota, Metazoa, Chordata, Actinopteri, Osteoglossiformes, Mormyridae. The transcript is spliced from 3 exons.